This 450-nucleotide ribosomal RNA is filed under the name uncultured bacterium. RNAcentral's name for it is "SSU rRNA". It matches the Rfam family "Bacterial small subunit ribosomal RNA", at positions 26 to 518 of the family's 1533-position model. The record is from RNAcentral.
AGAGCGAACGCUGGCGGCAGGCCUAACACAUGCAAGUCGAGCGGCCGUAGCAAUACGGCAGCGGCAGACGGGAGAGUAACACGUGGGAACGCGCCCUUCGGUUCGGAAUAACUCAGGGAAACUUGGGCUAAUACCGGAUACGCCCUUACGGGGAAAGAUUUAUUGCCGAAGGAACGGCCCGCGUCCGAUUAGCUUGUUGGUGAGGUAACGGCUCACCAAGGCGACGAUCGGUAGCUGGUCUGAGAGGAUGACCAGCCUCACUGGGACUGAGACACGGCCCAGACUCCUACGGGAGGCAGCAGUGGGGAAUAUUGGACAAUGGGCGCAAGCCUGAUCCAGCCAUGCCGCGUGGGUGAUGAAGGCCCUAGGGUUGUAAAGCCCUUUCGGGCGGGGAAGAUAAUGACGGUACCCGCAGAAGAAGCCCCGGCUAACGUUCGCGCCAGCAGCCGC